AGCGAACGCUGGCGGCAGGCUUAACACAUGCAAGUCGAGCGGGCACUUUCGGGUUUCCGCGGCGGACGGGUGAGUAACGCGUGGGAACGUGCCCUCUGGUUCGGAAUAACUCAGGGAAACUUGAGCUAAUACCGGAUACUCCCUUUUGGGGAAAGGCUUGCUGCCGGAGGAUCGGCCCGCGUCUGAUUUGCUAGUUGGUGAGGUAACGGCUCACCAAGGCGACGAUCAGUAGCUGGUCUGAGAGGAUGAUCAGCCACACUGGGACUGAGAUACGGCCCAGACUCCUACGGGAAGCAGCAGUGGGGAAUAUUGGACAAUGGGCGCAAGCCUGAUCCAGCCCUGCCGCGUGAGUGAUGAAGGCCUUAGGGUUGUAAAGCUCUUUUAUCCGGGACGAUAAUGACGGUACCGGAGGAAUAAGCCCCGGCUAACUUCGUG
RNAcentral lists this ribosomal RNA (435 nucleotides) under uncultured bacterium. RNAcentral describes it as "partial 16S ribosomal RNA". It matches the Rfam family "Bacterial small subunit ribosomal RNA", at positions 29 to 507 of the family's 1533-position model. The record is from RNAcentral.